CUAAAGUUCGAGAUUUAUUUUCCGAACUUUCGGUAUAUUACAGUACAAAUUUGCAACGAGUACUUUUUCUCAUUCUAUCGAACAAAGAGUAAAAUCUAAUUAUAUUGUUCUAUUAUGUCCCGAGAGUGUAAAUUUGGAACGAAUCGAUGUCAACGUUCACAAGAACCAAAAUCGGAACGACAUUAGACUACUCAGUUGGGCACUAGCAGUAUAACUUUGCAACGAGUACUUUUUCUCAUUCAAUCGAACAAACAGUUAAACCUAAUUAUAUCGUUCUAUUAUGCCCCGAGAGUGUAAAUUUAGAAUGAAUCGAUGUCAACGUUCACAGGAACCAAAACCGGAACAACAUUAGAAUACUAAGUUGCGCCCUAACAGCAUAACUUUGCAACGAGUACUUUUCCUCAUUCAAUCGAACAAACAGUUAAACCUAAUUAUAUAGUUCUAUCAUACCCCGAGAGUGUAAAUUUCGAAUGAAUCGAUGUCAACGUUCACAAGAACCAAAAUCGGAACAAUAUUAGACUACUCAGAUGCGCCAUAACAGCAUAACUUUGCAACGAGUACUUUUUCUCAUUCAAUCGAACAAAGUGUCAAACCUAAUUAUAUUGUUCUAUUAAGCCCCAAGAGUGUAAAGAUGGACGAAUCGAUGUCAACGUUCACAAGAACCAAAAUCGGAACAACAUUAGACUACUCAGUUGCGCCCUAAGUGUAUAACUUUGCAACGAGUACUUUUUCUCAUUCUAUCGAACGAAGAGUAAAAGCUAAUUAUACUAUUCUAUUUUUCCCCGAGAGUGUAAAUUUGGAACGAAUCGACGUCAACGUUCACAGGAACCAAAACCGAAACAAUAUUAGAAUACUCAGUUGCGCCAUAACAGUAUAACUUUGCAACGAGUACUUUUUCUCAUUCAAUCGAACAACAGUUAAACCUAAAUAUAUUGUUCUAUUAUGCCCCGAGAGUGUAAAUUUCGAAUGAAUCGAUGUCAACAUUCACAAGAACCAAAGCCGGAACAACACUAGACUACUUAGUUGCGCCCUAACAGUAUAACUUUGCAACGAGUACUUUUUCUCAUUCAAUCGAACAAAGAGUAAAACCUAAUUAUCUUAUUCUAUUUUGCCUUGAGAGGGUAAAUUUCGAACGAACCGAUGUCAACGUUCACAAGAACCAAAAUCGGAACAACAUUAGACCACUCAGUUGCGCCAUAACAGUAUAACUUUGCAGCGAGUACUUUUUCUCAUUCAAUGGAACAAAGUGUAAAACUAAAUUAUAUUAUUCUAUUAAGCCCCGAGAGUGUAAAGUUGCAACGAAUCGAUGUUAACAUUCACAAGAACCAAAACCGGAACAACAUUAGACUCCUCACUUGCGCCCUAACAGUACAAAUUUGCAACGAGUACUUUUUCUCAUUCUAUCGAACAAAGAGUAAAAUCAAAUUGUAUUGUUCUAUUAUGUCCCGAGAGUGUAAAUUUGGAACGAAUCGAUGUCAACGUUCACAAGAACCAAAACCGGAACGACAUUAGACUACUAAGUUGCGCACUAACAGUAUAACUUUGCAACGAGUACUUUUUCUCAUUUAAUCGAACAAACAGUUAAAUAAAGAGUAAAACCUAAUUAUCUUGUUCUAUUUUGCCUCGAGAGAGUAAAUUUCGAACGAAUCAAUGUCAACGUUCACAAGAACCAAAAUCGGAACAACAUUAGGCAACUCAGUUGCGCCAUAACAGUAUAACUUUGCAACGAGUACUUUUUCUCAUUCAAUCGAACAAAGAGUAAAACAUAAUUAUAUUAUUCUAUUCUGCCCCAAGAGCGUACAUUUGCAACGAUUCGAUGUCAACGUUCACAAGAACCAAAGCCGGAACAACAUUAGACUACUCACUUGCGCCCAGCGCCCUAGCAGUAUAACUUUGCAUCGAGUACUUUUUCUCAUUCUAUCGAACAAAGCGUAAAACCUAAUUAUAUUGUUCUAUUAUGGGUAAAUUUUGAACGAAUCGAUACCAAUAUUCACAGAACCAAAACCGGAACAACAUUAGACCUCUCAGUUGCGCCCUAACAGUAUAACUAUGCAACGAGUACAUUUUCUCAUUUAACCGAACAAAGUGGAAAACCUAAUUAUAUUGUUCUAUUAAGCCCCAAGAGUGUAAAGAUGGACGAAUCGAUGUCAACGUUCACAAGAACCCAAAUCGGAACAAUAUUAAGCCCCGCGACCAACCGCCAAUUUGGACCGGGUCGCGGCGCCGCCGACAGACCGCCGAACGGACCGGGAAUUCCCCUGUACGUGGACAGAGUCUCCCCAGUACGUCCAAGGCGUCGCAAUCCAAACAAUCAACGAAUGUUCUAACAAGGAACGGAUAUCAAUCCAGAUUGCAUAAGGAAGUAUCAAAUACAUAAUCUACUUGCUAUUACAAGUAGAUUUAUUUCACAACCACGUUUUACAUCACAGUUUCAGUUUACAUUUUUACUUCCGAAUUACAAUCUCACUAUUACAUCAGAGUUUACGAGUUUGAUACAUUUCUUUUCUUGUCUUCUAGACCCCUAAGCUAGACUGUCUCAGGGUACUGCUACCUCGGUCUCUUUGGUAGGGCGCUAUCUACUGAGCUACGCCCUCGCCUCGCACCGCCGCGUGGCACACGAACGACCUGAAAACCCCAAAACAACGUGGGGUGAGAACCAACUCCAUGGUUCCCAAUGGAUACGGCCACCCAAGGGAAAAGCUCGACCGAUAGGUCCGAGGAGGCACUGCAACAUGUUAGCUCAACAAUAUACAACAAAUAUAUAUAUUCAAUUGAAAUACAUGCCCUGCCUCACAAUAUGCGAUAUGAAAAUCAUGCAAUAACUAAUACAUCAUUUGAAUUCUACUUUUACUUGGCUACUUUAGCUCAUAAUUUUGCAACGAGUACUUUUUCUCAUUCAAUCGAACAAAGAGUAAAACCUAAUUAUCUUGUUCUAUUUUGCCUCGAGAGGGUAAAUUUCGAACGAAUCGAUGUCAACGUUCACAAGAACCAAAAUCGGAACAACAUUAGGCAACUCAGUUGCGCCAUAACAGUAUAACUUUGCAACGAGUACUUUUUCUCAUUCAAUCGAACAAACCGUUAAACCUAAUUAUAUUGUUCUAUUAUGCCCCGAGAGUGUAAAUUUCGAAUGAAUCGAUGUCAACGUUCACAACAACCAAAGCCGGAACAACAUUAGACUUUUCAGUUGAGCCCUAACAGUAUAACUUUGCAACGAGUACUUUUUCUCAUUCAAUCGAACAAAGAGUAAAACCUUAUUAUCUCAUACUAUUUUGCCUCGAGAGGGUAAAUUUCGAACGAAUCGAAGUCAACGUUCACAGGAACCAAAACCGGAACAAUAUUAGAAUACUCAGUUGCGCCCUAACAGUAUAACUUUGCAACGAGUACUUUUUCUCAUUCAAUCGAACAAACAGUUAAACCUAAUUACAUUGUUCUAUUAUGCCCCGAGUGUGUAAAUUUCGAAUGAAUCGAUGUCAACGUUCACAAUAACCAAAGCGGGAACAACAUUAGACUACUUAGUUGCGCCCUAACAGUAUAACUUUGCAACGAGUACUUUUUCUCAUUCAAUCGAACAAAGAGUAAAAGCUAAUUAUCUUGUUCUAUUUUGCUUCGAGAAGGUAAAUUUCAAGCGAAUCGAUGUCAACGUUCACAAGAACCAAAGCCGGAACAACAUUAGACUACUCACUUGCGCCCUAACAGUAUAACUUUGCAUCGAGUACUUUUUCUCAUUCAAUCGAACAAAGAGUAAAACCUAAUUAUCUUAUUCUAUUUUGCUUCGAGAGGGUAAAUUUCGAACGAAUCGAUGUCAACGUUCACAAGAACCAAAAUAGGAACAACAUUAGACUACUAAGUUGCGCCAUAACAGUAUAACUUUGCAACGAGUACUUUUUCUCAUUCAAUCGAGCAAAGUGUAAAACCUAAUUAUAUUGUUCUAUUAAGCCCCAAGAGUGUAAAGAAGGACGAAUCGAUGUCAACGUUCACAAGAACCAAAAUCGGAGCAACAUUAGAAUACUCAGUUGCGCCCUAAGUGUAUAACUUUGCAACGAGUACUUUUUCUCAUUCUAUCGAACGAAGAGCAAAAGCUAAUUAUACUGUUCUAUUAUUCCCCGAGAGCGUAAAUUUGGAACGAAUCGACGUCAACGUUCACAGGAACCAAAACCGGAAUAACAUUACAAUACUCAGUUGUGCCCUAACAGUAUAACUUUGCAACGCGUACUUUUUCUCAUUCAAUCGAACAAACAGUUAAACCUAAUUAUAUUGUUCUAUUAUGCCCCGAGAGUGUAAAUUUCGAAUGAAUCGAUGUCAACGUUCACAAUAACCAAAGCCGGAACAACAUUAGACUACUCAGUUGAGCCCUAACAGUAUAACUUUGCAACGACUACUUCUUCUCAUUCAAUCGAACAAAGAGUAAAACUUAAUUAUCUUGUUCAAUUUUGCCUCGAAAGGGUAAAUUUCGAACGAAUCGAUGUCAACGUUCACAAGAACCAAAAUCGGAACAACAUUAGGCAACUCAGUUGCGCCAUAACAGUAUAACUUUGCAACGAGUACUUUUUCUCAUUCAAUCGAACAAAUCGUUAAACCUUAUAUUGUUCUAUUAUGCCCCGAGAGUGUAAAUUUCGAAUGAAUCGAUGUCAACGUUCACAAUAACCAAAGCCGGAACAACAUUAGACUACUUAGUUGCGCCCUAACAGUAUAACUUUGCAACGAGUACUUUUUCUCAUUCAAUCGAACAAAAAGUAAAACCUAAUUAUCUUGUUCUAUUUUGCUUCGAGAGGGUAAAUUUCGAGCGAAUCGAUGUCAACGUCCAUAAGAACCAAAAUCGGAACAAUAUUAGACUACUCAGAUGCGCCAUAACAGCAUAACUUUGCAACGAGUACUUUUUCUCAUUCAAUCGAACAAACAGUUAAACCUAAUUAUAUUGUUCUAUUAAGCCCCAAGAGUGUAAAGAUGGACGAAUCGAUGUCAACGUUCACAAGAACCAAAAUCGGAACAACAUUAGACUACUCAGUUGCGCCCUAACAGUAUAACUUUGCAACGAGUACUUUUUCUCAUUCAAUCGAACAAACAGUUAAACCUAAUUAUAUUGUUCUAUUAUGCCCCGAGGGUAUAAAUUUCGAAUGAAUCGAUGUCAACUUUCACAAGAACCAAAGCCGGAACAACAUUAGACUACUCACUUGCGCCCUAACAGUAUAACUUUGCAUCGUGUACUUUUUCUCAUUCAAUCGAACAAAGAGUAAAACCUAUUUAUCUAGUUCUAUUUUGCCUCGAGAGGGUAAAUUUCGAACGAAUCGAUGUCAACGUUCACAAGAACCAAAACCGGAACAACAUUAGACUACUCAGUUGCGCCCUAACAGUAUAACUUUGCAACCAGUGCUUUUUCUCAUUCAAUCGAACAAAGAGUAAAACCUAUUUAUAUUAUUCUAUUAUGCCCCGAGAGUGUAAAUUUGGAACGAAUCGAUGUCAACUUUCACAAGAACCAAAGCCGGAACAACAUUAGACUACUCAGUUGCGCCCUAACAGUAUAGCUUUGCAACGAGUACUUUUUCUCAUUCUA
Molecule: long non-coding RNA, 5551 nt
Filed under: Ananas comosus (pineapple)
Lineage: Eukaryota; Viridiplantae; Streptophyta; Magnoliopsida; Poales; Bromeliaceae
Description: long non-coding RNA (ACOM_LNC038982)
Source: RNAcentral